RNAcentral lists this ribosomal RNA (523 nucleotides) under uncultured bacterium. RNAcentral's name for it is "bacterial SSU rRNA". It matches the Rfam family "Bacterial small subunit ribosomal RNA", at positions 355 to 896 of the family's 1533-position model. The record is from RNAcentral.
UGGGGAAUCUUGCACAAUGGGGGCAACCCUGAUGCAGCGACGCCGCGUGAGCGAUGAAGCCCUUCGGGGUGUAAAGCUCUUUCGGCAGGGAAGAUUAUGACGGUACCUGCAGAAGCAGCUGCGGCUAACUACGUGCCAGCAGCCGCGGUAAUACGUAGGCAGCAAGCGUUGUUCGGAGUUACUGGGCGUAAAGGGUGCGUAGGCGGCUCUAUAAGUAUGGUGUGAAAUCUCCCGGCUUAACUGGGAGGGUGCGCUAUAAACUGUGGGGCUAGAGUGUGGGAGAGGAAAGUGGAAUUCCUGGUGUAGCGGUGAAAUGCGUAGAUAUCAGGAGGAACACCGGUGGUGUAAACGGCUUUCUGGACCAUAACUGACGCUGAGGCACGAAAGCGUGGGUAGCAAACAGGAUUAGAUACCCUGGUAGUCCACGCCCUAAACGAUGCAUAUUUGGUGUGGGUCAUUCAGUUGAUCCGUGCCGGAGCUAACGCGUUAAAUAUGCCGCCUGGGGAGUACAGUCGCAAGGCUG